UAGGGAAUCUUCGGCAAUGGACGAAAGUCUGACCGAGCAACGCCGCGUGAGUGAAGAAGGUUUUCGGAUCGUAAAACUCUGUUGGUAGAGAAGAACGUUGGUGAGAGUGGAAAGCUCAUCAAGUGACGGUAACUACCCAGAAAGGGACGGCUAACUAUGUGCUAG
Molecule: ribosomal RNA, 165 nt
Filed under: uncultured bacterium
Lineage: Bacteria
Description: partial 16S rRNA
Rfam family: Bacterial small subunit ribosomal RNA
Source: RNAcentral